This 5850-nucleotide long non-coding RNA is filed under the name Triticum aestivum (bread wheat). RNAcentral's name for it is "long non-coding RNA (TAES_LNC004610)". The record is from RNAcentral. Lineage: Eukaryota; Viridiplantae; Streptophyta; Magnoliopsida; Poales; Poaceae.
GCCGAUGAUCGCACGGCUGUCACCGCAGUUGGCGACGACGAGGUGGCGAGGGCCGACCACGGCGACGACGGCCAUGGAGCCGACGUGGUCGCACUUGGGCAGUUGUAGCUCGCACCGGCAGGUGGGCGCUCCGCUGGCCCUUGACCUUGAGCUCACGGCCUCGGCGUCCAUCCGCGCGAAGCUCCGCUCCAUGACACCCAUCCACCGCUCCGCAUCGUCCGACCUCGUGUCAGGACCAGAGCACUGAAUCUAUGCAAUUUAGCUCGCAAACAACGAAUUUAGGGACGAAACAGAGAGCUUCGAACUAGGGUUCUUGUUGAGAAUUUGGGGAAAGUAGGUACAGCACGCCACCGGCGGUAGGGUUUACACCCAAUACACAAAGGCAUGCCCUCUCACACGCAGGGUUGCUGGCUUUAUAGCCAUUACAAGUUGGGAAAAGGUGAAAGAAAGCAAAACAGAGCACAUGCGCUUGUCGGAGCCGCUACAGCUAAUCACUAGCAUCAUCAACCCUUGGAUGGCUGAUCGACGAAGGAGAGCUACCCACUUGAUCGAACCGUUAUCUUCGCUCCAGAGCCACACGAUGAUAGAUCUACGGUUGCGGUAACUUCCGGUACGCGGGAACAGGGGAAUGAUAAGAACAUAGCCUGACAAUACCCCCCAAUUGAGACCGAGCUUGUCCUCAAGCUCUGAAAGAUGGAGAAACCUUCUGGAUGAAUGCAGAGUCUUCCCAAGUAGCUUCCUCCACGGGCAUAUUGGUCCACUUGACUAACCACCUGACGACAGGAAUACUGAUGUUUCCUUGCUUUCUUGGAAUGAGCGUUCUUUCCAGCACUGCUUCAGGCUCCACUUUGAUAAUACCAUCAGGGCCAACCAGUGGUAGCAUAGGGGAAGGGAUGACUAUUGGCCCAAUGUGCUUCUUCAGUUGGCUGACAUGAAAUGUGUCAUGCAGCUGGCAGGCCUCUGGUAACAGUAAUUUGUAGGCAUGGUUUCCAACUCUUUCCAUUACUCUGAAUGGGCCAUAAAACUUAGAGUGCAGCUUCAUGUGCCGAUGCAAACUGAGAGAAGUGUGCAUGUAAGGUUGCAACUUAAAAUUGACCAUGUCCCCCACUACAAAUUCUCUUUCCUUCCUCUUCUUAUCAGCAAAGAACUUCAUUCUAGAUUGGGCUUUAAGCAUAUUUUGUUUGAUUACUUCCAGUGCCAAUUCCCUAUUAUGCAACAAAUCCUCAUUAUCCUCACAAAUUGCAUCAGGCAGAGCAGAUUCAGCAAUCAUAGGGGGAGGAAACCCAUAUAGAGCCUGAAAGGGUGUCAUUUUUAAUGAUGUGUGGAAGGAAGUGUUGUACCACCACUCAGCUAGUGCCAACCACCCAUGCCACUUCCUUGGUUGUUGGAAACGCAUACAUCUCAAGUAGUUCUCCAAACAUUGAUUAACUCUUUUUGUUUGACCAUCAGUUUGAGGGUGGUAACUGGUGCUCAAGUGUAACUUGAUCUUCAGUGACUUAAACAGUUGCUGCCACAGAUGACUAGUAAAAAUUCUGUCUCUAUCAGUGACAAUCACCAAUGGCAUCCCAUGUAACCUGAACACAUUAUCAGAAAAUGCUCUUGCAACAGAUUGCACUGUAAUGGGAUGUUUCAUAGCAAUGAAAUGAGAAUACUUGGUGAAUCUGUCAACCACUACCAAAAUCAAGUUCUUGUGUUCAAACUUAGGUAGCCCCUCCACAGAAUCCAUGCUCACAUGUGCCCAAGCAAAAUCUGGCACAGGAAGUGGCUCCAAUAAUCUAGGGUAAGGAGUGUGCUCAGCUUUGUUCAACUCGCAAACAGGACACUGCUUGACAAACUGCACCACAUCUUGCUUUAAGCCCUGCCAGUGAAAAAUUGAUUUCACUCUCUGGUAAGUAGCUCUUUCACCAGAAUGGCCGCCCAACUCUGAACUAUGGAAUGUUUGGAGGAUUUUCUGUCUUAGGUUAGUAGCAGAACCCACUACAAUCUUGUUAUGAAAUCUCAAUAUUCCAUUCUUGAACGAAUAAGCAGUGGUAUUAUUUUUAUCCACAGUACAUUCAGCUAUGAGCUCCUUGAUCUUACUAUCCUAAUGAUAGCUUCCUACGACUUCCUUGACCCAAGCAGGAUAAGCAGCAGUUGCAGUUAAUGUAUGAAUCAUGUGUUUCACUCUCGAUAAUGCAUCAGCCACCUUGUUCUCCUUUCCUUUUUUGUACUCAAUUAUAAAGUUAUACCCUAGGAACUUCAGUAACAGUUUAUGCUGAAUGCCCUUGGUAAUUUUCUGUUCCUGAAUAUAUUUCAAACUUUCUUGAUCAGUUCUGAUCACUAAGGAAGUAGCUAAGAAAUAAUGCUUCCACUUCUUAACAACUUCAAUUAUGGCCAAGGCUUCCUUGUCAUAAGUGCUCAUUGCAUCUGCUUUGGGGCUAAUGCUCUUGCUGAAAUAAGAUAUAGGUUUUCCCUCUUGCAUCAACACAGCUCCCAAUCCAUACCCACUAGCAUCAGUUUCCAAAAUGAAAGGUUUGGAGAAAUCAGGCAAUGCUAACACAGGGGUGUUGGUAAGCUUGUUUUUCAAUGUCAGAAAUGCUUCUUGUUGUUCUUCCUUCCAGGAAAAACCCUCCUUCUUUAAGCAAUCAAAUAGUGGUCUACAAAUUACUCCAUAUCCUUGGAUAAAUCUUUUGUAAUAACCACUUAGCCCCAAAAAGCUUCUCAGUUCAGUUAUAGUAGUAGGAGCUGGCCAAUCUCUAAUGGAUUGUAUCUUAGAUGGGUCAGUAGAGACUCCCUCAGAGUUAAUAACAUGACCCAAAUAUUCAAUCUCCUGCUGUCCAAAAGAGCACUUUUCCAUUUUUGCAUAUAGUUUGUUUGUUUGCAAUAUAUCAAACACCUGCUUUAAGUGGUCCUUGUGCUCUUCCAGAGAGAAACUGGACACCAAGAUAUCAUCAAAGAAAGCCACAACAAAUUUGAGAUGGACAAACAACAAGUUCAUCAAUGCCUGGAAGGAUGGAGGGCCAUUAGUUAGUCCAAAGGACAUAACUAGAAAUUCAAACAGUCCCAUGUGAGUAGUGAAUGCAGUCUUUGGUAUAUCUUCUUCUGCCAUCCUGAUUUGGUGAUAUCCAUUUCUGAGAUCAAUUUUGGAGAAUAUCUUUGCUCCUUUGAGUUGAUGCAAGAGGUCCUCAAUCACAGAAAUGGGAUAUUUAUUUUUGAUUGUUAUAGCAUUCAAUUUUCUGUAAUCAGUGCAUAACCUCCAAGAUCCAUCUUUUUUCUUGACCAGGAGCACAGGAGAAGAAAAAGGGCUUGUGCUAGGUCUGAUGAUCCCAUUUUUCAGUAGCUCAUUAAUGAUUUUCUCCAAAAUUUCCUUCUGAUGGUGAGGAAUUCUAUAAGGCCUUUGGUUAACUACCUUUGCUCCUUCCACUAAGGGAAUUAUGUGAUCACAAGGUCUACUUGGUGGCAAUUCAGUUGGCUCUUGAAACAGCUGUUCAUACUGGUCCAACAGUGGUUGCAAUUCAGUAGGGAUUUCUGGACCAGCUGCUGUAAAUUCAGUACCAGAAGUUGUGAACAAGAAAAAUCCACAAACAGCUUGUUCUAACAGUUUUUCAGUGUUGUCCUUGGUUUCAGCUACAGGAGCCAGGGGAACAGUCUCAUCCAGAAAUGUGAUAAACUGUCCAGAGCUGUCAGAAAUUUUCAUUUCCAUUUUAAUAAAGUCCAUUUGUAUUGGACUAUAUUUCCCGAGCCAAUCAACUCCCAAAAUCAUGUCAUACCCCUUCAGUUUCAACACUCUGAAGCUGUCAGUAAAGUGAUGGCCUUGUAUUUCAUAAGGGCAAUCUUUUGCUUGAAAUUCAGUCCAUAGCACUCCCCCACUAGCAACCACCACCUUUAUCUUGGAUGUAGGGCUUGUAGUGAUAGGUAACUUGGUUGCCAUUUCAGGAGAAAUGAAGGUAGAAGUGCUACCACUAUCCACCAGUGCUGUGGCAACUGUAUUUCCUACUUUUACAGUCAAAAUAAAAGUAUUUUUGGUUGAUCCUAUGCCCAUAGCAGCAUGCAUUGACACUCUUAACACUGCUUCACUAGAUAACUGCUCCUGUGUUUCCAAAUCAGGGUCAUCAAAGUCUGUGACAAAUAUUGUUUCAGGGUUUUCAACUUCCUGAGCUUGUAAUGCUUGGAUCUGAGCUCUCUGGCUCAUUUUACAGACCUGCCUGUGACCUGGCACCCAUGGCUCUUUGCACUUGUAACAUACUUGGUUUUGUUUUGCCUGCUGAAUAACAGUAUUUCUGUUUGGUGUGGCAGUAGGUACAGGAGUUUUGGGCUGAUCAAAUAUUACUUGCCUUCUCGGUUGAGGAAUAUAUGGUUUAGUUUGCACUGCUGUAGUUGGUACUUGAGCUUUUUCCAUUCUCCUAGCAUAGCACACUGCAGUUUGCAUAUCCUUAGGCCUGAAGCACUCCACAUGAGUCUUAAUAUAUGGGUUAAGUCCUGCCACAAAACUGGAAACAUAGUAAUCAUCAGGGAUUCCAGGGUUUUCCCUUCUCAUGAUGUUCAUUAGUUGCUCAAACUGCUCCAUAUAUGCAGUGACUGUAGUAGUUUGUUGUGCUGCAUGGAAAGAGCUGACAAUGUCACAAACAGAGUCCACAGAAAAUCUAUCAGAAAUGUAAGAGCAAAAUUUGUGCCAUGGAACAUUGCUAGGAGCAAAUCCUGUUCCUCUCCACCACUGUACAACAGGCCCUUUGAGGUAAGAGAUGGCCAGUUCAGUUCUGUGCUCAAUAGGAGUUUUGGAUGCAGCAAAAUACUGCUCUAAAUUCUGAAUCCAAGACUCUGGGUCUUGACCUUCAAAUUCAGAGAUAUUUAACUUUGCCGGCUUUACAGUUAGUACAUUUCUUCUUCCAUCAACAGGGAAAUUGGGCCCUCUUCUAUACUGUGGAUCAAUGACCUCUUCCUCCUGCCUUUCCUCCAUUUGCCCCACAAUGUUUGGUGUUGUUUCUUUUCCUUGACCAAAAUUUGGAUGUCUGUAAGGUACUUUCAGAGUUCCAUCCAAAUUGAGCUCUUUUCCAGUGUGAUCAUGCAGAGUUGCAUUUCCCACUAGCAAAGGGGCUCCUUUCUCUGGCAUUGUUACUAACGGAGGAGUCGGAGCUUGGAGUUGUUUGGGUCGUCCAGGAGAUAUUUGUGGAGAGUGAUUGUGGUUGUCCUUGACUUGGACACUGCCCUGACCUUCCUCUCUUUCCUCUACAGUAAUUGGCUCCGGAUCCAAUAGUAAAUGCCUGAAAUUGUCUUGGAUUUUGUCAAAAUUCUUCUGCAUCGUAGCAAAGUUUCCGUUCACUGUCGCCUGGAACUGCUGAAAUUCUUUGCGAUCUUCUUCUCUGUCGCGCUGCCGCGUCUUGAUGUCCAACUCCAAUGACUCAAGCUGCAACUCAGCAGUUGUGCCCGAAUCGGCUUGACCUGUCAUCUUGUCUGCUUUAGGAAUUCACACCAGUGGUCAGGAGGGAGGGAAUUUCUCGUCGUCGCCGCCUACGCUGCCGCUGGUACACGGUCAGAUCGCAAGAGCUGGGGUUUUACCACCAGAGAAUUACUCUCCGGCAACGAGGCUGCAAUUUCGACUGUACCCGAACUCUGCCACUCCGGCCGCCUCCUGAAUACUCCACCGCCCGACUCGAGCGUGAAGAGGGAUUUUACGGCCUACGACCAACCCCAACACCGCUCAAAUCAAAUCGCCUCCGAGGAAAGGCUGGCGUCUGAUACCAAUUGUCAGGACCAGAGCACUGAUCUACGCAAUUUAGCUCACAAACAAUGAAUUUAGGGACGAAACAGAGAGCUUCGAACUAGGGUUCUUGUUGAGAAUUUGGGGAAAGUAGGUACAGCACGCCACCGGCG